Molecule: unclassified non-coding RNA, 519 nt
Filed under: Marshalljohnstonia gypsophila
Lineage: Eukaryota; Viridiplantae; Streptophyta; Magnoliopsida; Asterales; Asteraceae
Description: partial external transcribed spacer
Source: RNAcentral
GGGGUUCGUUCUGGCUUUUGGUUGUUUGCCUGGUGUUUGUGCCAAGCGGGUGGUCGUUAGCGGGAUGUUCUUCGGGGAUGUCAACCGUGAAGGUGCAUGAGUGGUGUUUGGUUUGUUACGGGUGGUUGGAUGUCUGUUUGCGCAGCAACUUCCAUGCGUUCAUACCUCUUCAGUUGUGCUACAAGGCUUUUAUCUGUCUUGUGCAUCCCGGUUGGUUUCUGUGUUGCAUACCUAAUGAAGGGCAUCGUAAGGCUAGAUCAAUGUUCAUUUUCGUAAUGCGUCGCUUGCGGCAUUGAACGAACCUCGAAGCGGUCUUUAUGGUCCAUUCUGUUGUUGUGUAUGCAAUGAUGGCAUGGCCCUUGGAGCAUCGUUUGGUCUCUUGGAUAUAGAACCUGAUGUGGGCUGUAGGUUCUUUAAUGAUCCUAUAUUUGCCCUCGUUUAGCGUUCUCGCUUCUCUAAACGACCGUCUAUCAUGUGUCGGCAUGUUCGUGCAUGGUGGGCUGUGUCGAAGAGGAAUGC